AUAUGAAACACUUUUUUUCCUGCCUUAAGGUUGGAAUCUGGUAAGUUUCAGACAAGUGGUUGCGGGGGGAGGUGACCCGGGGGACCGCGGGGGACCGGCCCGGUGAACCUGACUCGGCGAGGUGGGCGACCAGAAGAGCCGGGUCUGCGUGCCGCCCCCUGCCCCCAGCCCGGCGCGGAGGAAAGACUGGCGGAGGUGCGGCAGGCUCAGGCCGCGACCCUCGGGUCCUCCUGUGAAAGGAGCGCCCCCUAAUCCCUGCGAGCGGACGCCGAAGGGGGAGCGGGGAUCCCACCAGAGGGAAGGCCCAGAGGUUAAUCAUCUUGAUAACCGGAAAGGGCGCUGCCCGGCCUGGCUGCCAUCACAAAGCGUGUCAGUCACCAGCUCUCAAUCCCGCCACAGAAUUACCUGCUCAAAGAGCCAUCCCGGGGAGCGCUCUGCUCCGCGCUCUUCCCGCCCGCCGCCUGCGGGAAGGACACCGUGUCCUAGUCCGAAAGAAGCGGAUGUCGCUUUGACCCUCCUCCGCCCCCAGACGGUUCCUAAAUCCAGGAGGGCAAUGCCAGCCCUGGAUCGCUCAGAACUGCUACAUCGCAGCUUCGGGCCACCUGCCUAUUACUCAGCCCGUCUACAAAAAGAAAAAUAGAAAAAGCGGGGCGGGAGAGGAAAAAGGAGCGAGAUUACUUGUCUGAUUUAUCUCUGCCUUAGGAACCUGGUCCUGGCCGCUGGCGGAGCCGAGGGCCUCGAGCCUGGGCACUGGGAGGCCAGACCCUGCCCGCCAGAGGUGCACACAGCCUGGGUGCCCCCGGCUCGGUGUCUCACUGGCCAAGAAGCCGAGCUCCUUUGCAGCGGGUGUCAGCAACUUUAGAAACAGCAAACUCUUCAGCGAAGCCCCCUCCCCACGCACUGAGCUCGCGGCUCUGCUACAGACGCGGGUUUAGGCGCCUUUCACAUACACUACUCACGUUUUCCGAGAAAAUGGGGAGAGGAGCACAUUAAAGAAAGGUGGGGGGGGGGUACUGCAACACUUUCAAGAAAAACUAGGGGUGGGGUGGGAAGGGAGUUUAGAAAGGCUGUCUGUAACAGCCCAGCUGCCAAAUCCCUGGCUGUUCUGAAAAGGAAGAAGGAGAGAAGCAGGCGGGAAAGGACUCCCUUCCUCCUCCCAGCCAUCUCCCUCUCAGCGCCCCCAGCCCAGGACACCCGGGCUGGGAACCCGAGAGUGUGCUCCUAGGAAGACAUCAGCCCUUCCGCCUCCAGCUCAGCCCAGGUCGCAGCCCCUGCCCGAGACUUCCUGGGAAGCAACCCGCAACGCCCACAGCGUUGGCCUCCUUUCCCCGACUCCUUGGAGAUUGGUCUGCGGCUUGAGUCCGGCUGCAGACACCCACUCCGGCCCUUAGAUUAGACCUGCCUCGGGCGUGGACGCCAAGGUGCGGUACCGAGGCCCCAAGCUGCGCCGAGGCUGGCGAGUUUCUGCCUGGGUCGGGAGAGGGGGUCCCAACAGCGGAGCCCGCUGCAGUCUGGUGACACCUACUGCGCCUCGCACUGCCUCCACGACGGCCCUUGGCCUGCGGAGAAGGAGGCAAGGGCAAGAUGCUCCGUGGCGGGUCAAACCUUCGCCCCUUUAUCUCCUACCAUGCUUUUCAUGUCCAUAUCUUUGUUAGUUAGGUGUAUGACUGCUAUAUUCCAGCGGCUUAUCCUGCAUAAAAUACCCCACGGCUUGGGCGAGACUUUGCAAAUUUGGCAUCCCAGGUGAGCGGUCUUGAGUAUUCUGUGCCCUAUCCACCCACCUCGCCCGUGGGUACUCAGGGCAGCGCCCACUUGGCAGAAUUGAUGGCCGUUCAGGCCUAGCAGAGUGCGCAUCGCCAAACCUGCGCGUCCAAAAUGCAUCCUCGCCUCGCCGGAACGCUGAGCCGCGCAACUCUAAAGGAGCCCGCAUUCCGGAGCACGUGCAAGCAUCCUCCCGCUUUGAAAUGAAUUCGCUCUGAGUCUUUCAUCCCCAAAGGAAAAGCCUUUGGGGCGCUACUCAGACCCAAGACCUGGGAGAGAGAAGUCCCGAAGGCGGGGACCAGGGGCUUGGGCACUCUUCUGCUCACCUGGACUUGAGACACUCGAAGGCCCGAUUAACCAUCGGUUGUAUCAGGGCCGAUGGGUUCAAAGUGGCUGCGCCUCGCGGAGGCGCUCACUCCCCGGGUCCGGGUCUCCGAGGGCAUCUGGAAUCUGGGUGGGUUGUGCUGACUACCUGCAGCGCGCGCGGAUCCCAGGCCAGGAAAAAGGGCGCCGUGUAACGGGGACGGUCGGUUACCUCUCCAGGGAUCUGCCCUGACUUUGUUCGUAAUUUAAGAAGCCUCUGAACUCGGGGAGCGCGUGUUGGGGCACCUCCCUGCACACACACGCCCCCUCCUUCCCGGGCCUCGUAUCUUUCCCUCCACUCUCCCGUUCCCCCCACCCCCAACCCCGCGGCCCCGCCCGUUAGAGGCGCGCAGCGGGCACUCGGUUUACAGAGCCGCCGGUUCAGAUGUUUAUUCGCAGCUAAUUGCUGGUGCAGGAAAAUGCUCGCUACCCCGGCCGAGCGCUUCCGCCCUGCGCUGGCCGAUCCCGCCGGCGGCAGCUCGCUGAUCCCACCCGCGAAGCCACGGAGGAACCGGCGGCAGGGAGGCGGCUGUGCCACCCUGGGCCGGGCUACCGGCGCUGCCCCGGACUCCCGGUAGGGGGAGCCGCCGCGGGCACCAGGCCAGCCCGGCUCCAGGCCUCAGGUCGGCCCUGCUGCCAGCAGCCACCCGGAACGCAGAACGUGGGCGGCCUCCUCACCUGCCCUCCAGGUGCGUGCGGCCAGCAGAGAAGGGAACACAGGGCCGAGCCGGCUCCUCGUUCCCGGCUGUUGCAUCGCAAAGAAGCUACGCGAGACCUAAGUGCAUUCUUUAGGUCCAAAUAUAGUUAGGAAAAUUGGUAGGUAAGGAGAUCAUCUCCUUUGCCCAUGCCCCUUAACACCAGUGAUUAAGAACUCCUCUUAAUUCCACAAAUUUUGAGGCUUAUUUUAAAAAUUUUAGAUGAUCUAAUCCCUUCUCACUGUGUUUCCGAGUCGUUUAUUUCCAGGAGUUUCAGAUGGUCCCAGCACAAAAUAGGAGCUCAGAGGAGACCAGCUGGCUUUGCUGCCGGAUCACCGACCACUCCUCUCCCUUUCUGACUCUAUGUGCUCAAUAAAGGUUCCGAAGCUUUCAUUUUAAGAGAUGGCCAAUGUUGAGAGAGCAACCCUAACCCAGGGUCAAGGGGAAAGCAGCUAGGCGGACUGUGACCCCACAGGGCCCCCCCCCCCCCCCCCCCCCACAAAGGGCCCGGCGCAGCAGCACACCUGUGCUGAAGGGCUGGAGACUUCCGGCUCGCUACUCCCACAGAUGAAACAUGCAAGCCCUCCUUCUACAGAAACUCGUCCUUCCAGAGCAAGCCCCAACUCAUGAGAGCUCUCUUAAGGCCGAGUCCUUAAAGUCUCUCC
Molecule: long non-coding RNA, 3484 nt
Filed under: Equus caballus (horse)
Lineage: Eukaryota; Metazoa; Chordata; Mammalia; Perissodactyla; Equidae
Description: lncRNA (ENSECAG00000052570.1)
Source: RNAcentral